RNAcentral lists this ribosomal RNA (246 nucleotides) under uncultured bacterium. RNAcentral's name for it is "partial 16S ribosomal RNA". It matches the Rfam family "Bacterial small subunit ribosomal RNA", at positions 524 to 770 of the family's 1533-position model. The record is from RNAcentral.
UACGAAGGGGGCUAGCGUUGCUCGGAAUCACUGGGCGUAAAGCGCACGUAGGCGGCUCUCUAAGUCAGGGGUGAAAUCCUGGAGCUCAACUCCAGAACUGCCUUUGAUACUGGAGAGCUAGAGUCCGGAAGAGGUGAGUGGAACUGCGAGUGUAGAGGUGAAAUUCGUAGAUAUUCGCAAGAACACCAGUGGCGAAGGCGGCUCACUGGUCCGGUACUGACGCUGAGGUGCGAAAGCGUGGGAGCA